This 80-nucleotide transfer RNA is filed under the name Klebsiella phage vB_KaeM_KaOmega. RNAcentral's name for it is "tRNA-Leu". It matches the Rfam family "tRNA". From Rfam's summary of the family: Transfer RNA (tRNA) molecules are approximately 80 nucleotides in length. Their secondary structure includes four short double-helical elements and three loops (D, anti-codon, and T loops). Lineage: Duplodnaviria; Heunggongvirae; Uroviricota; Caudoviricetes. The record is from RNAcentral.
UGCUCCAGUAGCCCAAUUGGUAGAGGCACUUGAUUUAGGAUCAUGUCAGUGAUGAGUUCGAAUCUCUCCUGGAGUACCAU